AGACGUCUACAUUAGAUACCCCCGUAGUCCCAGCCGUAAACUAUGCGCGUUAGGUGUAUCGGUGACCACGAGUUACCGAGGUGCCGAAGGGAAACCGCGAAACGUGCCGCCUGGGAAGUACGGUCGCAAGGCUGAAACUUAAAGGAAUUGGCGGGGAGCACCACAACGGGUGGAGCCUGCGGUUUAAUUGGACUCAACGCCGGGAAGCUCACCGGAUAAGACAGCGGAAUGAUUGCCGGGCUGAAGACUCUGCAUGACUAGCUG
Molecule: ribosomal RNA, 264 nt
Filed under: uncultured archaeon
Lineage: Archaea
Description: partial 16S ribosomal RNA
Rfam family: Archaeal small subunit ribosomal RNA
Source: RNAcentral